GGGUGCGAUCAUACCAGCACUAAUGCACCGGAUCCCAUCAGAACUCCGCAGUUAAGCGUGCUUGGGCGAGAGCAGUACUAGGAUGGGUGACCUCCUGGGAAGUCCUCGUGUUGCACCCC
Molecule: non-coding RNA, 119 nt
Organism: Beta vulgaris subsp. vulgaris (sugar beet)
Lineage: Eukaryota; Viridiplantae; Streptophyta; Magnoliopsida; Caryophyllales; Amaranthaceae
Source: Rfam